RNAcentral lists this ribosomal RNA (836 nucleotides) under Nocardia sp. RNAcentral describes it as "bacterial SSU rRNA". It matches the Rfam family "Bacterial small subunit ribosomal RNA", at positions 92 to 944 of the family's 1533-position model. The record is from RNAcentral. Lineage: Bacteria; Bacillati; Actinomycetota; Actinomycetes; Mycobacteriales; Nocardiaceae.
CGAGCGGCGACGGGUGAGUAACACGUGGGUGAUCUGCCCUGUACUUCGGGAUAAGCCUGGGAAACUGGGUCUAAUACCGGAUAUGAGCCGAGGUUGCAUGACCUCGGUUGGAAAGAUUUAUCGGUACAGGAUGGGCCCGCGGCCUAUCAGCUUGUUGGUGGGGUAAUGGCCUACCAAGGCGACGACGGGUAGCCGACCUGAGAGGGUGACCGGCCACACUGGGACUGAGACACGGCCCAGACUCCUACGGGAGGCAGCAGUGGGGAAUAUUGCACAAUGGGCGGAAGCCUGAUGCAGCGACGCCGCGUGAGGGAUGACGGCCUUCGGGUUGUAAACCUCUUUCGACAGGGACGAAGCGCAAGUGACGGUACCUGUAGAAGAAGCACCGGCCAACUACGUGCCAGCAGCCGCGGUAAUACGUAGGGUGCGAGCGUUGUCCGGAAUUACUGGGCGUAAAGAGCUUGUAGGCGGUUUGUCGCGUCGUUUGUGAAAACUUGGGGCUCAACCCCAAGCUUGCAGGCGAUACGGGCAGACUAGAGUACUUCAGGGGAGACUGGAAUUCCUGGUGUAGCGGUGAAAUGCGCAGAUAUCAGGAGGAACACCGGUGGCGAAGGCGGGUCUCUGGGAAGUAACUGACGCUGAGAAGCGAAAGCGUGGGGUAGCGAACAGGAUUAGAUACCCUGGUAGUCCACGCCGUAAACGGUGGGUACUAGGUGUGGGUUUCCUUCCACGGGAUCCGUGCCGUAGCUAACGCAUUAGUACCCCGCCUGGGGAGUACGGCCGCAGGCUAAACUCAAAGGAAUUGACGGGGCCCGCACAAGCGGCGGAGCAUGGUG